RNAcentral lists this ribosomal RNA (746 nucleotides) under uncultured Yaniella sp. RNAcentral's name for it is "bacterial SSU rRNA". It matches the Rfam family "Bacterial small subunit ribosomal RNA", at positions 28 to 776 of the family's 1533-position model. The record is from RNAcentral. Lineage: Bacteria; Bacillati; Actinomycetota; Actinomycetes; Micrococcales; Micrococcaceae.
GAUGAACGCUGGCGGCGUGCUUAACACAUGCAAGUCGAACGCUGAAGCUCCCAGCUUGCUGGGGGUGGAUGAGUGGCGAACGGGUGAGUAUCACGUGAGGAACCUGCCCUGAACUGUGGGAUAAGCCUGGGAAACUGGGUCUAAUACUACAUAGGACGCUCCAUCGCAUGGUGGGGUGUGGAAAGCUUUUGCGGUUUGGGAUGGUCUCGCGGCCUAUCAGCUUGUUGGUGGGGUAAUGGCCUACCAAGGCUUUGACGGGUAGCCGGCCUGAGAGGGUGACCGGCCACACUGGGACUGAGACACGGCCCAGACUCCUACGGGAGGCAGCAGUGGGGGAUAUUGCACAAUGGGGGAAACCCUGAUGCAGCGACGCCGCGUGAGGGAUGACGGCCUUCGGGUUGUAAACCUCUUUCAGUUGGGAAGAAGCCCCUUUUUGGGGUGACGGUACCUUCAGAAGAAGCACCGGCUAACUACGUGCCAGCAGCCGCGGUAAUACGUAGGGUGCGAGCGUUAUCCGGAAUUAUUGGGCGUAAAGAGCUCGUAGGCGGUUUGUCGCGUCUGCUGUGAAAGCCCAGGGCUUAACCCUGGGUUUGCAGUGGGUACGGGUAGGCUGGAGUGCAGUAGGGGAGACUGGAAUUCCUGGUGUAGCGGUGAAAUGCGCAGAUAUCAGGAGGAACACCGAUGGCGAAGGCAGGUCUCUGGGCUGUUACUGACGCUGAGGAGCGAAAGCAUGGGGAGCGAACAGG